This 424-nucleotide ribosomal RNA is filed under the name uncultured prokaryote. RNAcentral describes it as "bacterial SSU rRNA". It matches the Rfam family "Bacterial small subunit ribosomal RNA", at positions 355 to 796 of the family's 1533-position model. The record is from RNAcentral.
CAAGGAAUUUUCCCCAAUGGGCGCAAGCCUGAGGGAGCAACGCCGCGUGCAGGACGACGGCCUUCGGGUUGUAAACUGCUUUUGCGUGGGACGAUAACGACGGUACCACGCGAAUCAGCCCCGGCUAACUCUGUGCCAGCAGCCGCGGUAAUACAGAGGGGGCAAGCGUUGUUCGGAAUUACUGGGCGUAAAGGGCGCGUAGGCGGCAUAUCAAGUCAGAGGUGAAAGCCCCGGGCUCAACCUGGGAAUUGCCUUUGAAACUGAUGAGCUAGAGUCCGGAAGAGGAUAGCGGAAUUCCCAGUGUAGAGGUGAAAUUCGUAGAUAUUGGGAAGAACACCAGUGGCGAAGGCGGCUAUCUGGUCCGGUACUGACGCUGAGGCGCGAAAGCGUGGGGAGCAAACAGGAUUAGAUACCCCCGUAGUCC